Acanthosepion pharaonis is the source of this 102-nucleotide non-coding RNA. Lineage: Eukaryota; Metazoa; Mollusca; Cephalopoda; Sepiida; Sepiidae. The record is from the annotation of a GenBank genome assembly.
AAUUUGAAACACCGGUUCCCGUACGAACACCGCAGUUAAGCAACAUUGAGCCUGGUAGGUAUCUAGAUGGGUUACCGCUUGAAAAAUACCAGGUGUUGUAAG